UGAGCCAAUCCUUGUUUUAUGGUCAUAUUUGCUUACGGUUUUCUGCAAAAUGUAGGGCCCAAAUUUUGCCCGGGCCCAAAAGCACAAACAAAAAAUAAACCAAAUAAUAAAAACCCAAAUAUAAAAUUAUAACAGUCCAGUAUUACAAGCCCACUAAACGUCAGUCCAAAAACACCUAACCCUAGUCCGAUAGCCCAAAACAAUUUCAACACAAAAAAUCAGCAGCAAACCCUAAAUCCCCUGGCGCCGCAAGCUCCCACGCGCACCUCCGCACGUACGCCGCCCUCCACGUCACCGUACGGCCUCCGUACACCUGCAGAAAAUCAACACGCAAAGAGCGCAACAAACGAGCAAAAGACAAGCAGAAACAGCACAACAAAAGGAGAAAAAAAAUUGUAAUAGCGAAGAAAAAACAGAAAGAGGGGCGAUUUUUGUAUUUUUCUUUUGGCUAUAUAAAGCCAUAACGAAAUCUGUAAAAUGAUGAAAAAAAAGAGAAAUAAAAAGAUCGAUAUUAAGGUGAUUCUUUUUCUUUGCGUUUUUCUGUUCUUUCAUUUUUUUAUUUUUUGUAUACAUUCAGAUAUAAAAAAAGAAAAGAGUUAAAGGUAUAAUGAUACCUUCGCGGGCCUUUGGAGCCAUCCUCUACUCUGUCUGAAUCGGAAUGAGAGAGAGGAGUGUUCUGGCUUUCAAGGUGGCGAUGAGGGAAAAGGCUCACCUGUGUGUCGAAACCAUCGAGUCAUCGAACCCUAGUCCGCUUCUUGGUAGUCGGAGAUCGGAAGGGACGAGGGAUUGCGGCGCGUUUCUAUGUAAAUGAGGGCUAGGGUUUCUUUUAGUUCGUUUUUUUAGGUUUCAUUUAUUUAUUUUUUUUAGUUCUGUAAAACUUAAAACGUUGCCGUUUAAGCCACUUAGUUUCAGCAACCCGCGCGGUGACCCGACCCGGGGAGGAUCCGCGCGUUCUGACUUUUUGGAUUAUUUGCGCUUAGAGUCCUUUCAUGUUUUGCUUAGUUUCAAUCGGAUUUCUUUCCAUUUUCCUUAAUUUGUACCGCCUAUUUAAUUCUGUAUUCAUUUAGAUCCAAGUUCAAACGGUGCCGUUUUUGUUAUUGUUUGGGAUUAUUUCGUUGUUUGUGUUUAAUUGCGGAUUUAGUCCUUUAAUUUUGAAACAGGUUUUAAUUAAAUACUGAUUUAUUUU
Molecule: long non-coding RNA, 1186 nt
Filed under: Gossypium barbadense (sea-island cotton)
Lineage: Eukaryota; Viridiplantae; Streptophyta; Magnoliopsida; Malvales; Malvaceae
Description: long non-coding RNA (GBAR_LNC022590)
Source: RNAcentral